CUUUUUAGGGCUGUACCCAUGGCAUAUGGAGGUUCCCAGUCUAGGAGUCGAAUCAGGGCUGCAGCUGCUGGCUUACACCAUAGCCACAGCUACUCAGGUUCCAAGCCACAGCUGCAACCUACACAACCAUAGCUCACUGCAAUGCCGGAUCCUUAACCCAACUGAGCGAGGCCAGGGAACAAACCUGCGUCCUUAUGGAUACUAGUCAGAUUUGUUUCCACUGAGCCAUGAUGGGAACUCCAAAACUUCUGUACACUUUAAAUGGGUUAACUCUAUGUGAAUUAUACCUCAAUAAAACUGAUGGUGCCUCUGCUGAUUCUGGGAACCACAUUUUUUGAGAACCACUGUAACAAAAGGCUUCAAAACUGCUUCUGGCUGAAGGCGGUACUAAUCAGCACUGGAGAGUCAAGCGUUUUACUCAGGGACUGGGAAAUAGUCCUGAAUAAAAAGUUAACACUUUGUGCUAAGCACUGUUCUAUUCCACUGGUUCCCCGACCAAAUCUCCUUUGGAACUUGUUGGAAAUGCAUAUCUCAGGGCCCUUCCCAGACCUAUAGAAUCAGAUACUCUGGGGGUGGAGCCCAGCAACCUGUGUUUUAGCAAGCCUUGUAGGUGAUUCUGAUGUUCCCUGAAGUUUCAGAACCAUUGUUCUAAGAACUUUACAUGCAUUAACUCAGCUACACAUCUCCAAAACCCUAUGAGGUAGGUAACACUAUUAUUACUAUUUUACAGAUUAAAAACUGUGACACAGAGGUCAAAUAAUUUGCACAAGAUGACACAGCUGGAAAGAAAUGGAGUCAGAACUUGAACCCAGGGAGCCUGGGCUCUUAAUCACUGUGCUGAAAGAUCUGUCCAUCUACACGAACUCAAUCAGCAGAAUGCAGUAAAUAAAGAAUUACACUAGUAAGUUUUAAAAAAAGCAAAGAUGAGGAGAAAUACGACUCACUAUAUAAAGACAGGCAAAUAAGCAAAUAAUUGCAGCAAAUAAUGUAAUCAUUAAAGCAAUCUUCCAAAUGUGUUCCGAAAUACAAGGAGCCACCAAAUACAAUAUACCGAGUAUUUUCAGACCAAUUAUCUCUGGAACCUAAUUAUAAAGACUCAAAAUCUGUGUUAUGCUAAAGAUGGUACAUAAAUUCAUGGCAGUAUGUUCACACUUACCAAUCUUUAAAAUCUAAAUGAUUAUACUAAAAACUCAUUCCAGAACAAUUUGCAUCUCCCUACUCCUGGUCUCUUUCAGUCACUACUUAAAGAUUACCGAAAAGGAAAAACUGUUUUCUUUCAACAUCUAAGAUUAUACAAUCAGAAUUUUAGAGUUGAAAAAAUUUUCACAUUCACCUAGUCCAAUCAGCAAUCCAAACUGAAUCAAUCUACAAUACUAAACUCCAUUUAAAGAUACAUUCAUAAGAAGCUAAAAGAAAUCCCAAUUUGCCAUAAAAUCACAUUCUGGAACCAAUCCAUGUCACCACUGUAAUUUUUAAAGCCAAAUGAUUAAAACUUUUUAAGGGAAUUAAAAGUUGAAAAUGCUCAGGUUUUAACAGCCUAAACAAAACCUACACUUGUUUACUCAUAGAAAAACACUCCUUCACUAUCUGAAAGUGUUUCUAUAACCAAGCUGGUCAACAAGUACAUCGAGUUUCAGCAACUCGGCCCCUAUGACACAUCAAAUGAGAGCGCUUCCAAAGAAUCUUGUGAGCUGAGUUAUCCCUGAUAUUAACAUAUAAACAUCUGGUAACCCAUCAUUGAAGAAACGAGUCAGAGAACAAUACAGCAAAACACCCAACUGCUUGUGACUAUCAACCUUACAGAUAAUGAAAUCAUUGUAAAGCAGCCAAAUAUGGUUACAGCUACACAUCACAUUUUCACAACUUAAGUCAAACUGCAAGAGAGGUUAACAUGGAAUGCGAAGGGCAAAUACUUUCAAAGCAACCGAUUUUGGCAUUUCAGUAAUACUUUGAAUCCAUGGUUGAAAACACAAAACAAAAGGGGAAAAAGGCAACAGAAUUUCCAUUGUAAACUUGUAACUCUGGAAACAAUUCAAAUACUGAAAUGCCUACUGUGUGCAAUGGUCUGUCCCCAAAAUCUACAAUUAUCCUAGUUUCACAAACUCAGGAUUAGAAGGUUUAAAGGAAUUUUGUUCAAACUUCCAAAGCAGAGAAAAUUCAGGAUAAAGGUAAAUAUCUAAUCACUUUACAUAAUGGGCACACAUUUCUUUUGUUGUUGAACGAAUGAAUGGAUUUCACUUCUUUUAUACUUAGUAAAUUUACAACUAAGGAUCUAAUUUCUCCCUUAAUGAACAAAGAACUGAAAAGCCUGAACUCAUCAUGAUUCACUGCAGCGGUAAUUCACAAUCAUAUUUCAUCUAAAUACCUCAGAAACUUUAAUUCAUGACCUCUAAUCCUCUCUGGCCCUUCAACCUGGAAUUACACUCAUUUUAAAGGUAGGCACAAGUGGCCCUGCUCUGCCCACUUGUGCUUAAGUCAAAGGCUGGCUGGAGCAUAUAUGUCUAACUUCCAUUCACAAUUUUGACCAUGGAAGGGACAUUAACAGUGGAUCCAAUGCUGAACAAGGAAAUAAAUGAACAGCUUAAAGGACUCUAUGCUGGGGAACAGCAUUUUCAGAAGAAAUAAAAUGAAAAAAUAACAACAGAAAAACUGUAUUUGUGUUUAACAGGUAGCAGGAAAAUCAGGAUAUAAGUGGAAGCUCUCAAAAAUUGUUUAGUAUUGCCAUUUCAAAAACUGUAUUAUAGCCAAAGGAACUCAUCACUAAGUCUUAAUAGCUUAGAAGUUAUGGAUCAGAGCAGCUGAGAUACCAACAUCAAAAGAAUAAAAAGCAACUUUAUAAGAUAGUAUAAAAAUAACUAAACCACCUAAGGAAAUUGAAACCAUGGUGAAAAACCCCAAAGGCACAAUCAGGUCAUUAUCUAGGAAACAUUAGCUUCUUCCACAAGGAGGCCUACUUUUCAUGUAGAGCCGUAAGCAGGGCCAAGACAUGGGACUGAAGUCAGGUAUCAAUUAAAUCAGACUCUGCCACAGAAAAAGGAACCCAUGACUAGUUAUUUUGGGAUAGUGCCUAAGCCAGCAGUAUCAACUCCAACUGGGAUAGAGGAGAUUAUCGCCAUUGUUCCAUUAUAAUGGGGUCCUCCAAGGUCUUUAACUUAGCAAGAAUGGGUUAGAUACCACUUUGAGAAUGUAAUCACCAAAUGUGGGGGAAACUCUUUAGGGCAAUUUCUUCAACAAAUAAAUCAGAAGAAAAAGGGAAGGAAACUACAGAUUAAAACAGAUUUAAGAGGUAUCAAUCCUCCUUUGUGAUAAAUGGAUUUUCUCUGGAUCCUGAUUCAAACUAAAAUUUGAACAAACAAAAUUUAAAAUAUUUGCUAUUUUAAAAAAUCAGUUAAUUUUUUGAGUUGUGGCAAUGGUUCUGAAGUGAUAUUUAAAAGUAUAUACACAAGUAUUUUGCAAAUAGAAAGAAAAUGCCAGCAGGGGUUUAUGUCAAAAUAAUCUAGGGGGUAAGGAGUGAGGGGUUGGAGUAGAGUACAGGUAAAAAGUAAAGGCUGCAAGUUGGUAACUGUUACAGCCAAUGAUGGGUACACAGGGGAUCCUUAUAUUAUCCAAUUUUUAUAUGUUUCAAAAUUCCAAAAAGAAUUAGACAUAAUAUCUUGCAAUUUUAUUUUCUGAAUGAUGCUUAAGGUGAUUUUAAAAAUCAUGUAAUAGAGAGAACUCAUUUAAAUUUUAAUUUAGUAAUGAGCUGCAUUUAAACACAAGAAACAGUCAGUACCACAUCAGAUUCAGAUAAUGGAAAAAACCAAAGUAGCUCAAUUACAGAACAGAAAUACACCCCCCCCCACCAUCUCCAUUCCAGGAAGUAAAAUACAAAUACUACCCAAAAAGAUCCACAAAAACUAACCUAAAAUCACAGCCAAUCAUACUCAUCCUGGUGGGAAAUCCCAACACUGCUCCGACAGCUUCCUGAACCUUCCUGACACCAAGUUGGUCUGCUGGUU
RNAcentral lists this long non-coding RNA (3998 nucleotides) under Sus scrofa (pig). RNAcentral describes it as "lncRNA (ENSSSCG00005002669.1)". The record is from RNAcentral. Lineage: Eukaryota; Metazoa; Chordata; Mammalia; Artiodactyla; Suidae.